UAACCUAAUCUACCAAAUGAAAAUUUAAAAUAACUCAAAAAUCAUCAAAAUGCUUCGAAAAUAUUACUACCUCUAAAAAAGGCUAAUGUAUAUGUAUAUUCUGCAAAUGUCAGUUCUCUAUAAUCAUUUUUAACCGAUUUACAACUAUAAACGAAAAUCGAAAAUAACGAAACUAUUAACGCCGAAAGCUUUCUAGUAUUUCUUAAAUCUAGCUAUUUCCUGUUUUUCCCAAUUAUUAUGAAAGCUACUUGGAAAAUUAAAAAAUGACCAGCCAUGGACCAUGGUAUGCUUCAAGUAAAUCCAAAAUGCAAUAAAAAAAGAUCUCUUGCUAUUUUUUGAUUAGAGUAAGAUUUCUGGUUGAGAAAACAAUAGGCAGAAAAGCAACACACAUACAUUAUAGUAAAACCAACACAUUCAUCGCUACGCUCAGGCCCGGAUUGAACUAUCGAGCUACCGAGAAAAUCUCGGUGUGCCUUACAAAAUUAUAUAUGUUUUCAAUUGAAUUUAUGUCAAUUAGAUACAUUUUGUAUGAUUUUGGGCUGGUGAAAAUCCUAAAACUUGGUGAGCUAAUACAUUCCCUACACUAAAAUAAAAUUAAAAUACAUUAUAUUAUGCAUGUUGAAUUAUAUAAAUAUUGGGACGUUUUGAACAUUUUUAAAUUUCUUGACAUUAGCGAAUAAUUAAAAAAAAAUUAUCUAUUUGAAUUAAUAUAUAAA
Non-coding RNA from Cinara cedri, 716 nucleotides. The record is from the annotation of a GenBank genome assembly. NCBI's taxonomy places the organism in Eukaryota, Metazoa, Arthropoda, Insecta, Hemiptera, Aphididae.